UAUCUCUGUAGAGUCUGCAUAUCAAUAAGCGGAGGAAAAGAAACUAACUAGGAUUCCCUCAGUAACGGCGAGUGAAGCGGGAAGAGCUCAAAUUUGAAAUCUUCAAGGUUUUACCUUGACGAAUUGUAGUUUAAAGAAGUGUUUUCUGUUGAAGUUUCGGUAAAAGUUCUUUGGAAUAGGACAUCAUAGAGGGUGAGAAUCCCGUAUUUGACCGUUAUUUUCAGCUGUGUGAUUCACUUUCAAAGAGUCGGAUUGUUUGGGAAUGCAGUCCAAAAUGGGUGGUAAAUUUCAUCUAAAGCUAAAUAUUGGCGAGAGACCGAUAGCGAACAAGUACCGUGAGGGAAAGAUGAAAAGAACUUUGAAAAGAGAGUUAAACAGUACGUGAAAUUGUCAAAAGGGAAGCGUUUGACACCAGUGUUGUUUUCUCGAAAAUCAAUUAAAAAGAGUUGGAUUUUGUAUUGUUAAGACCUUAUCAGCUUACUGUACUCUUUUCUUGCUUUUUUUAAUGCACUUUUCGUUUAACAAGUCAACAUCAAUUUCUUUUGUUGUAAAAGAGUCAUUGGAAGGUGGCCUUCACUUCGGUGAAAGUGUUUAUAGCCUUUGGCUUCUGCAAUCGGAGAGAUUGAGGUCUGCAGCGUAGAUCCUUCGGGGCUAGAUACGUAGAUGCUAAGUUAUAGUUUUUUAUAGACAACUUGUUGACUAUAAUUAAUCAUGUAGCUUACUCGUUUGCGCUAUUUUACCUACGCUUAGGAUGUUGAUCUGUAGUGCGUGCGC
RNAcentral lists this ribosomal RNA (774 nucleotides) under uncultured Neocallimastigales. Its description in RNAcentral is "partial large subunit ribosomal RNA". It matches the Rfam family "Eukaryotic large subunit ribosomal RNA", at positions 24 to 634 of the family's 3401-position model. The record is from RNAcentral. Lineage: Eukaryota; Fungi; Neocallimastigomycota; Neocallimastigomycetes; Neocallimastigales.